GGGUUGUUAGCUCAGUCGGUAGAGCACCGCACUUUUAAUGCGAUGGUCCCGGGUUCGAAUCCCGGACAACCCACCA
RNAcentral lists this transfer RNA (76 nucleotides) under Methylobacter sp. RNAcentral describes it as "tRNA-Lys". It matches the Rfam family "tRNA". From Rfam's summary of the family: Transfer RNA (tRNA) molecules are approximately 80 nucleotides in length. Their secondary structure includes four short double-helical elements and three loops (D, anti-codon, and T loops). Further hydrogen bonds mediate the characteristic L-shaped molecular structure. tRNAs have two regions of fundamental functional importance: the anti-codon, which is responsible for specific mRNA codon recognition, and the 3' end, to which the tRNAs corresponding amino acid is attached (by aminoacyl-tRNA synthetases). tRNAs cope with the degeneracy of the genetic code in two manners: having more than one tRNA (with a specific anti-codon) for a particular amino acid; and 'wobble' base-pairing, i.e. permitting non-standard base-pairing at the 3rd anti-codon position. RNAcentral also lists the same sequence under 1 other name. Lineage: Bacteria; Pseudomonadati; Pseudomonadota; Gammaproteobacteria; Methylococcales; Methylococcaceae. The record is from RNAcentral.